GACGAACGCUGGCGGCGUGCCUAAUACAUGCAAGUUGAGCGCUGAAGGUUGGUACUUGUACCAACUGGAUGAGCAGCGAACGGGUGAGUAACGCGUGGGGAAUCUGCCUUUGAGCGGGGGACAACAUUUGGAAACGAAUGCUAAUACCGCAUAAAAACUUUAAACACAAGUUUUAAGUUUGAAAGAUGCAAUUGCAUCACUCAAAGAUGAUCCCGCGUUGUAUUAGCUAGUUGGUAAGGUAAAGGCUCACCAAGGCGAUGAUACAUAGCCGACCUGAGAGGGUGAUCGGCCACAUUGGGACUGAGACACGGCCCAAUCCCCUACGGGAGGCAGCAGUAGGGAAUCUUCGGCAAUGGACGAAAGUCUGAGCGAGCAACGCCGAGUGAGUGAAGAAGGGUGUCGGAUCGUAAAGCUCUGUUGGUAGAGAAGAACGUUGGUGAGAGUGGAAAGCUCAUCAAGUGACGGUAACUACUCAGAAAGGGACGGCUAACUACGUG
RNAcentral lists this ribosomal RNA (497 nucleotides) under uncultured bacterium. Its description in RNAcentral is "partial 16S ribosomal RNA". It matches the Rfam family "Bacterial small subunit ribosomal RNA", at positions 28 to 507 of the family's 1533-position model. The record is from RNAcentral.